AAAGUAGAGAAAGUGGAAGAGGAAAGAGUUACCCCAGCGAGAACCGGGAACCGGGCUGCAGACUCUCCGGCCCGGGGGAGGGAUGAGUUUCACUCUGGUUGCCCAGGCUGGAGUGCAAUGGCGCGAUCUCGGCUCACCGCAACCUCUGCCUCCCGGAUUCAAGCGAUUCUCCUGCUUCAGCCUCCCGAGUAGCUGGGAUUACAGGCAUGUACCACUGCUCCCGGCUAAUCUUGUAUUUUUAGUAGAGAUGGGGUUUCUCCAUGUUGGUCCGGCUGGUCUCGGACUCCCAACCUCAGGUGAUCUGCCCGCCUCGGCCUCCCAAAGUGCUGGGAUUACGGGUGUGAGCCACCGCUCCCAGCCAUUCUUUAUGUAUAAUUUUGUAGUCUUUAUUCAAGGCAUACUUUAUCAUAAUCUUUCCCCAUAUUGCUAUGUAGUUUUCACAGUUGCCAUUUUUUAUGUAGUACAGUGCAGUUUCUGUAGUACAGUACACUGUGGUGCUAAAGACAGUUGGCUUUGCUGUCAGAACUGGGUUCAGAUCUGGACUCCACCCAUGACUUGUUAUAACAUGUUAGCAAUUAUUUCACUUCUUGAGUCUGAUGAAAUAGGUGGUGACAAAUUCUUAACACAGUGCCUAGAACAUCAUAAGUGGUUAAUAAAUGUCAGCUAUCAUGAUUCCUACCGUAGUUACAUUUGCCCCCCCAGAAGUUGGAUAUCUUUUUUGUGUGGUUCUGUAUAAUUAUUUUUGAACAUAAAACUUUUUAUUAUUUAGGAUUAUUAUUUUUUCUGAGUGCCAGAGAUGGAAUUGUGGUCAAAGACUACAAAGUUUUCCAAGGUCUAAGGGCCAGGCUCACUGACCCUUUUUUUCUUUCCUGUCUUUUCUGCCCCUGCCCUCCCCACCUUCAUUCCUUCCAUCCAGUCAGGCCCCAGUUGAGAAGUUAUCCCCCAACACGCCUUAAAGAAUCAGAGUUGGAUACCUUGGCCAAGCAGUCACAGUCCUACAAAAGCUCUUUGCUCUCCUCUUUCUCUCCUCUUUUCCCUUUUUGGGGAAUGUGGCAUAUGGCUCUGGGAGUGAUUUCCAAUGACUGCCCUUCUUUGGGAACAGGUGGACACUUAGGUGUCCAGUGACUGGGUUUCUAAUCCUUGAGUGGCCCCUGAUUGUCUAAUAGUGAAUACUUGCUGGGUUAAGCCUGUGGCUCAAACUGUACUGGUCAGUUUCUCUCCAGCAAAUCUGCUGGUUGGAACUGACAGGUGGUUGGUGGGAGUGGUUAGAGCAGAGGCACUAAUGGUGGGUCCUGCCUCCUGUGUUCCCCAGGGCCUGGUAGUUGAGCUUGCCCUUGGGUUCUGUAAGGUACUCAUAGAUAUGUUGGCAUGAACCAAAAGUAUCUGAGACAGGUCUCAAUUUAGAAGGUUUAUAUUGCCAAGGCUAAGGACGUGCACGUGACACAGCCUCAGGAGGUCCUGACUACAUGUGCCCAAGGUGGUUGGGAUACAGCUUGCUUUUAUACAUUUUAGGGAGACAUGAGACAUCAGUCAAUAUGUACAAGAUGUACAUUGGUUCCAUCUGGAAAGGCAGGACAACUUGAUGCUGGGGCUUCCAGGUCAUAGAUAGAUAAGAGACAAAUGGUUGCAUUCUUUUGAGUCUUUGCUCAGCGUUUCACUGAAUAUACAAUUUACAUGUGGGGAAGGGGUGAGGUGGGUGGUAGAGGAAUAGUCAUUUAUGCCUUUGUCUCAGUGGAUCUGCAUUUUUACAUAAACAACAGGGCAGAAGAAGCAAUCAGAUAUUCAUUUGUCUCAGGUGAGCAGAGGGAUGACUUUGAGUUCUGUCCUUUGUCCCACACCUAUGAAGAUAAGCUAUCCAUUUACAUUGCCAGGGUGAAAUUCAACAGAACUGUUUUAGGGUAAAGAUCUUGAUGCCCACAAGGAAUUUCCUUGUGGGCAAAUUGUGAGGGAGGUCUGUAGCUUUUUUAUCUUUGUAGCUAUCUAACUUAGGAAUAAAAUAAGAGGUAGGUUUGCCUGAUGCAGUUUCCAGCUUGACUCUUCCCUUUGCCUUAGUGAUUUUGGUGUCCCGAGAUUCAUUUUCCUUUCACAUUGUUCUGAGACUGGAAGUUCUGCAAGGACAGGGAACUGUCUCUAUGGCUCAUCAUAGUUUCCAGUGCCCAGGCACUUGAUUAAUAUUUGUUGAAUGGAUGGAUAGAUGGAUGAUGGAUGACUUGGCCUCUGGAAUCAAGAGGCAGUACAGCAUAAUGGUUGGUAUAAAUCUAGAUGUAGUCAGCUUAUGCUGGAAUCCUGGCUCUGCCACUGACUAGCCUGGGAACCUUGGGAAAAUUACAUGGCCUUAGUCUGCCAUGGUUUCCUCAUCUGUAAAAUGGGGAUGAUAGUAACCUCUCGGGAUUGUUGUGAAGACUGUCUGAGUUAUUAGAUAUAAACCAACUAUUAGAUAUAAAAGUGCCUUGCACAUAUUAGGUACUCAAUAAAUAUUAGAUACUAUUAUUGGCUUAAUUAGUCAUAAUUAGGUUUAGCAAGUAACAGAAAACCCAAAAAUAAGCUUACAUUUUUCUCUCACCUUCAGGAAUCCUAGAGGUGAUCAGAUUGUUUUCCUCAGCAUCAGAGACCGAGGCUUCUCUUGUUGCUUUGCCAUGUUUGGCUUCCAUUCCCAAGGUCGCGUCACUAAGCAAGGUGGCUGCUGGGACUCCCAUCUACUGAGGCAUUCUAGCCAGGAGGAAGGGGGAAAGGCAGAGGAAGGGCUCACCCUUGCUCUUUAAGGAUAGUUCCCAGAAGUUGUAGUUCCAGCUGAGACCUCUCCUUUGAACUCCAGACAGCAACACUUCAGCUCCUUGCUUGAGGUGCUCCAGAGGCAUCACAGACCAAGAUGUUCAAGUUGAAACAUUCUCUGACUCCGAAUCCAGACUCCAUAAACUGUGCCACCUGUACCUCCUUUAACUGCCUCUCACCACAUCCUGAGGCCACUCAUCAUUGAGGCCAUUUUCUUUCUUUCUUUCUUUCUUUUUUUCAUAUUUUUGAGAUGGAGUCUCGCUUUGUUGCCAGGCUGGAGUGCAGUGACGCGAUCUCAGCUCACUGCAACCUCCGCCUCACGGGUUCAAGCGAGUCUCCUGCCUCAGCCUCCCGAGUAGCUGGAAUCACAGGCGCGUGCCACCACACCCACCUAAUGUUUGCAUUUUUAGUAAAGACGGGGUUUCACCAUGUUGGCCAGGAUGGUCUCGAUCUCUUGACUUCGUGAUCUGCCCACCUCGGCCUCCCAAAGUGCUGAGAUUACAGGUGUGAGCCACCACGCCCGGCCGAGGCCAUUUUCUUCUACCUCCAAUAGAUACAUUUAGAAUCUGUCUCUUUUACUUCAUUUCCCACAGCUAACAGUCCAUUCCAGGCCACCAUCACACCAUCAUCUUUUGCCUGAAGUGCAUAAGCCUCCAACUUGGUCCCUAAACUUCUCUACCCAGUGAGCUCUACACAAACCAGACCAUGCUCCCUCCCCAUUAAGGCCCCUCACAGCUUCCCAGUGCAUUCUGACAGUGCUCUCUGCACCUCUUCGCCCUGUCCCACAAUGCAUGAGCUCUCUUAUUCUUUUUUUUAUGAGACAGGGUCUCACUCUGUUGCCCAGCCCAGAUUGUAGUGGUGCAAUCAUAGCUCACAACAGCCUUGACAUCCUGGGCUCAAGCGAUACCCCCAUCUCAGCCUCCUGAGUAGCUGGGACUACAGGCAUGCGCUACCACGCUUGGCUAAUUUUUUGUAUUGUUUGGAGAGAGGGGUUUCCCUGUGUUGCCCAGGCUGGUCUUAAACUCCUGGGCUCAAGUGAUCCACCCACCUCAGGCUCCCAAAGUGCUGGGAUUAGAAGUGUGAUUCAUGCCUGGCGUUUUGUUUUGUUUUGUUUUGUUUUUUUUGAGACAGGAUCUCACUCUGUUACCCAGGCUGGAGUGCAGCACUAUGAUUAUAGCUCACUGCAGCCUCCAACUCCUGGGCUCAAGUGAUCCUCCUGUAGCUGUAGUCUCCCAAGUAGCUGGGACUACAGGCACAUGCUACCAUGCCCAGCUAAUUUUUAAUUUUUUUUUUAUAGAGAUAGGGGUGUGCCUGUGUUGCCUAGGCUGGUCUCAAAAAAUUCCUGGGCUCAAGCAGUUCUCCCACCUCACCCUCCCAAAGUGCUGGGAUUAUAGGUGUGAACCACGGCACUGGGCCUGCCUUAUUCUUCCUUAAAUUUCUCAAGUAAGCCAUCCUUUUUCCUACCUCAAAGUCUUGCAUUUGCAGUUUCCUUGGCCUGGAAUGCUGUUUCCUUCCUACUGGCUUCAUUCUUCAAAUCUCAACUUAAAUGUCACCUCCACAGAGAACCUUAUCUGAUUAAAAGGAGUUGGAUCCCCCACGACCACCACUAUUCUCUAUCCAAUGUCUUUUCUUAUUAGCAUUUAUCAUAAUAUGCAAUUAUUCUGUUUGUUUUGUUGUUCCUCAAGUGUUUCUUCUAUUAGAAUGUAAGCUCCCUGAAGGCAAAAACCACAUCUAUCUUGUUCCUGUAGUUCCAAUGCAUAGAACACAAAUUCUCCGAUUCUGGUGGCUAAUAGAGUAGGGACUCAGUAAACAUUUUAAAAAUAAAAUAAAUGUACUCAACUAUACCAAAAGAUUUAUUAAGCAAAAAAGGUAAGAUACAAAACAGUAUGUAGUGUGGAAUUCCAUUUAUAUUUUGUAAAAAUUUUGUGCAGACACACACACACACGUGCAUGCACAUUAAGGAUACACAAAAAACUAGUAACUGUGGUUGCCCCUAGGAUAGGGACUAUGACUCAAGGGAGAGAAGAUAGAAGUAAUUUUAAUUUUAUAAUCAUUGUUCCUAUUUGGAUUUUUGUUUUACUACAUGUCUAUAUUUCUUUUAUAAUAAUAAAAAUACCAUCUAGUACUGUUAUUUUAAAAAGGAAAUAUGGAAUAGCAAAAAAAAAAAAAAAAAGGAAGAAUCUUAGAAUAACAGUCAUUUAAAUGGAACAAAUUUGUCCUUAUGAAAACCCCACAACAUUGUCCUUUUUUUUUGCAUUCCACUGAGGACCUGGGAAAGCUUCCUCCAGCCCUGAUGCUGGCCUGCAGUAUGGCACUUGACAGCUACUGGUAUUGUGGAUAGAAGCAAAGGCUCUGGACUCAGCAACACUUGGUUUGAAUUCCAGUUCUACCACUUACUAGCUGUGGUGCUGCUGACAACUUAAACUCCAUGAACCUCAGUUUUCUUCAUCUGUAAGGUGGGAUAACAGUACUUCUCUAAUAGGGAUAUUGUGAGGAUCAAAUAUGAUGAUCUAAAGCAGUUAGCACAAUAUCUUGCACAUAGUAAGUGCUUAAUAAGUGGCAGUUAUUAUUUCAUACAUUAUAAGGUGAUACCCCUGAACUUCCAUUGUAUCCAGAUUCAGAUUUCUGCAUGUUAAAGGACACAUCAUAUUGCAAGACGAUAGGGUGGUACUGCCUAUCAGCCAAUUGUGUAGGCUCCAGAUCCAUCAGCACAGCAAUGAUUGGGAAAGUACUUGAUUAUUCCAUGUUAUCCUCAUUUUAUAAAAUUUUGUCAGUGGAAAAUGGAAGUACCAAUAGUAGUGAUAAGAAGUAUGCAUCUGUCAAGUAAGUGAAAAUACAACCCACUGAAUGGGAGAAAAUGUUUGCAAAUCAUAUAUAAGGCAGUGGUCCACAACCUUUUUGGUACCAGGGACCGGUUUUGUGGAAGACAAUUUUUCCACGGUUGGGGGUGGGGAGGGGGUUGGGGGUGAGUGGGGAUGAUUUCAGGAUGAAACUGCUCCAUCUCAGAUCAUCAGGCAUUAGAUUCUCACAAGGAGCACCCAACCUAGAUCCCUCCCAAGUGCAGUUCCCAGUGGGGUUCACACUCCUGUGAAAAUCUAAUGCUGCCGAAGAUUUGACUGGAGGCAGAGCUCAGGUGCUAAUGCUCCCUUGCCUGCUGCUCACCUCCUGCUGUAUGGCCCCAUUCCCAACCAGUACCUCUCCAUGCAGGUGUGGGGAGGCAAUGCGGUGUGGGGAGGCAAUGCGGUGUGGGGGUGUUGGGAACUGCUAUGAUAAGGAACUUGUAUUCAGAAUAUAUGCAGAACUCUUAUUACUCAAUAAUAAAGAGACAAAUAACCCAAUUGAAAAGUGGGCUAAGGGUUUGAAUAGACAUUUCUCCAAAGAAGAUAAACAAAUGGCCAAUAAGCCCAUGCAAAGAUGCUCAACAUCCUAAUCACCAGGGAUAUCAGAAGGGAAAUGCAAAUCAAACCUGCAAUUAGGUAUUACUUCACACCUACUAGGAUGGCUGUAGCCAAUAAGACAGACAAUAACAAGUGUUGACAAGGAUGUGGAGAAAUUGAAACCUACAUAUAUUGCUGGUAGGAAUGCAAAAUGGUAAAACACUUUGCAAAACAGUGUAUCAAUUCCUCAAAAAAAAUUUUUUUUUUUUUGAGACGGAGUCUCUUGUCACUGAGGCUGGAAUGCAGUGGCAUGAUAUCAGCUCACUGCAACAUCCACCUCGUGGGUUCAAGUGAUUCUCCUGCCUCAGCCUCCCAAGUAGCUGGGAUUACAGGCACCUGCCAUCAUGCCCGGCUAAUUUUUGUAUUUUUAGUACAGACGGGGUUUCACCAUGUUGGCCAGGCUGAUCUUGAUCCUGACCUCAGGUGAUCCACCCACCUCGGCCUCCUAAAGUGUUGGGAUUACAGGCAUGAGCCACCUCACCCAGCCCAAUUCCUCAAAAUUUUAAAAUAGAGUUACUUUAUUAAUCAGCAAUUUCACUCUUAGGUAUCUGCCCAAGAGAAAUGAAACAAUUCAUCCACACAAACACUUUUACAUGAAUGUUAACAGCAGCAUUAUUCACAAUAGCCAAAAGGUGGAAACAGCUCAAAUAUCCAUCAACUGAUGAAAGGAUAAACAAAAUGUGGUAUAUUCACACAAUGAAAUAUUAAUGAUACAAAGGAAGUGCUGACACAUGCUGCAACAUAGAUGAACUUUGAAAAUAUGCUAAAUGAAAGCAGUUACAAAAGACCACAUAAUGCAUGAUUUGAUUUAUGUAAAUGUCCAGAAAGGGCAAAUCCAUAGAUACACUAUAGAAAAUAGAUUAGUCGUUGUCAGAGGCUAAAGAGAGUAGGGAGGAUUGGGAUGGGGAGUGACUUAUGGGUACAGGGUUUCUUUUAGGGGGACAAAGAUAUUUUGGAAUUAGUAGUGAUGGUUGCACAACCUAGUAAAUAUACUAAAAUAUAUGAAAUUGUACAUUUUCAAUGGGUGAAUUAUGUAGUAUACGUGAUUUAUAUCUCAACAAAAAGGAGUUUAAAAAGAAGUAUGUGUAUCAUUGACUCUUUCGAUAUAAACAUAGAAAUCAUUAGACUUAUCGAAAGGGAUGAAUCUUUAGCCUCCAUGGGAUGUUCUUAAGCCUAUUGCUGUUUUUUGAUUUGUGAAGGAAAAUAAUCAAAUUGAAGGUACAUUAGGAAGGACAGCAAACAUAUGAUCAGCGAUUGUGUCUAAAAAUGCAGGUGUAAUUGGACAUGCUGUACCACUUUUUAUUCCCAACAUAAAUUUGUUGUUUGACUUUUGUACUUUUGACAUUAGUAAUAUUUUCUGAAAUAAAUUGUGUAUGGAAGCAGGGGACUGUGUUUACUGUGUCAUGGGGAAGGCAAAUGAUCUCUCAGCCCUCUUCACUUCCCAUUUGUUUAAUGCUGAACCAUCAAGCAAACUUCCUCUAGGGAAUAAUUCAGCUGGUACCAGGAGACUGCACAUAAUUAUUUGGGCCACUGGAAAAUUCUAAUGCCCAUGAAAAAAUAGCUUUUGGUUUAUAGAUCAGUCUUUUGUGAAUUUGGGCAGGAAAAGUCAGCCCUGGAAAGUGGUUUUAUUUUGACCAUAACUAAAUAUGCAAAAAAUAGUAGGAUAAAUAAUGAGAUUAUUAAUAAAUCUCACAAAACUGUAAUUCUAAGGUUUAGCUUUAGUUUGGUUGGUUCAUCAACAGCUCAACAAUUUUGGAGGUCCAAAUCUGUUCUGGUAAGAGCUGGGGAUAAAAUGGUGGAUGAUAUAGACACAGCCUUGCUUGCCCAAAGUCAAGUGGAAAAGUAACAUAACAUAAGAGUGAAUAACAUAAUUAUGCAUUAUUCAUAGAUUCCAUUAUUAUACUCAUUCACAGAUUCCAGAUUUACAAUUUACCUACUCUCUAAAAUGUAUUUGUAAUCUCAAAAAUCAAUGCUCUUGGCCGGGUGCAGUGGCUCACGCCUGUAAUCCCAGCACUUUGGGAGGCCGAGGUGGGUGGAUCACCUGAAGUCAGGAGUUCAAGACCAGCCUAACCAACAUGGUGAAACCCACUCUCUACUAAAAGUACAAAAAUUAGCUGGGCAUGGUGGCGGGCAACUGUAAUCCCAGCUACUCGGGAGGCUGAGGCAGGAGAAUCACUUGAACCCGGGAGGUGGAGGCUGCAGUGAGCCGAGAUCGCACCACUGCACUCCAGCCAGGGUGACAGAGCAAGAUCCUGUC
Molecule: long non-coding RNA, 8466 nt
Filed under: Homo sapiens (human)
Lineage: Eukaryota; Metazoa; Chordata; Mammalia; Primates; Hominidae
Description: non-protein coding SAP30L-AS1:13
Source: RNAcentral